GCCUGCCCGGUGACCAUGUGUUCAACGGCCGCGGUAUUCUGACCGCGCGAAGGUAGCGUAAUCACUUGUCUUCUAAAUAAAGACUAGUAUGAACGGCCACACGAAGACUUGACUGUCUCCCCUGUCCAAUCAGUGAAACUGAUCUCCUUGUGCAGAAGCGAGGAUACACCCAUAAGACGAGAAGACCCUAUGGAGCUUCAAACUCAAUAUUAAUUACCUUAAAACCCCCCUCUAAGGAGCCAACAAAUAAUUUUUUAAACUUAUAUUAGUUUUAGGUUGGGGCGACCAUGGAGAAAAAAAUAUCCUCCCUGAUGACUUUCUAACCAAGAGCCACAGCUCUAAGUAUUAAGACACUUAACUCCCAUUGACCCAUUUUAUGAUCAACGAACCAAGUUACCCUAGGGAUAACAGCGCAAUCCAUUUCAAGAGUCCCUAUCGACAAAUGGGUUUACGACCUCGAUGUUGGAUCAGGGCAUCCUAGUGGUGCAGCCGCUACUAACGGUUCGUUUGUUCAACGAUUAAAGCCCU
Molecule: ribosomal RNA, 528 nt
Filed under: Megophrys glandulosa
Lineage: Eukaryota; Metazoa; Chordata; Amphibia; Anura; Megophryidae
Description: Xenophrys glandulosa partial 16S ribosomal RNA
Rfam family: Bacterial large subunit ribosomal RNA
Source: RNAcentral